RNAcentral lists this long non-coding RNA (951 nucleotides) under Helianthus annuus (common sunflower). RNAcentral describes it as "hypothetical non coding rna". Lineage: Eukaryota; Viridiplantae; Streptophyta; Magnoliopsida; Asterales; Asteraceae. The record is from RNAcentral.
UGGCCUCAAAUUUCCAAAGCCCUCUCUCCUUCCCUUUUUGCCCUAGUUUCUUGAAACUAACACUCGCCUCUCUCUUUCCCUUCAUGCACAAAGAUGGAACUUGACGACUAAGAACCUGCGAUAAAGAACAAACGAUGCUGAAGCUAGGAACACUAGGGUUCUGGUGUCGCUGCAGUUGCAUUUAACCCUACUUAUUGAAGAAUUGUGCACAAUGCUAUCAAGUUUUGGUGGGAGGCUGGUGGCUAUACACAGAGUGUUGUUUCACUAAAACAAUGUGAUCGCGGUUCCAGAUGCUAAUUUUCAUUCUCUCCCUUCCACUCGGCACAAACAACACUAUAUCCUUAGAUUAGAUAACAUGACUACUAGAAGGUACAAAUGUCAGGAGGCGAAAGCAUAUGUAAGAUUAUCACGUGAUAUGUUGGGAAAAGGAAUAAGUCAACCCCGGUAAAUAUUGGACAUAUUACACGUCGGACACUAAAUAGGGUGAUAUAGGCAAAAUCCUAGUUUGUUGAAAACUAAAAUCUAAGUUGGAGAUGAAGUUUUCCACAAAAGCAUUCUAAACUCUACCGAGACUAUAGCAAGAGGAAGGGUCUAGAGCUUGGACCCAAAUGAUCUAGUUGGUGGUACAAAGAUUGAACCAGAAUGGUGUGAGGUAAACGCUCAAGUACCAAUAAAAAAUAUUAAAACUUGGUAAAACCAUAUGGUUUAUUUUCUACAAUUCAAGAUUGUAUUAGUGCAUCAUCCAUCGCAUGGCCCUAUCCAUUCAUCUCGGUAGUUCAUGAGGAUUGAGGACGCAUGAUGACUCAAGAUUUUAUGCUUCUUUUUUCUUUAAUUGCUUUAAUUUCUUUGUUAAAUGUUAAGAUUUUAUGUCAGAUAAUGUUAUAACUUAUUUAUGGUUAGUGUUUUUGUUAUGAACAUGCUUAUUUGAAAUAUAAUGAAGUUUUAUUUCUU